Molecule: long non-coding RNA, 648 nt
Organism: Carassius carassius (crucian carp)
Lineage: Eukaryota; Metazoa; Chordata; Actinopteri; Cypriniformes; Cyprinidae
Exons: 4
Source: RefSeq, a predicted model, not a curated record
GGGACCCCUCUUAUGAUGGCCUUUACCUGUUGAAACCUCAAGGUCAUUUUGGAGCUGCUGAAUCAUGGUGCUAACCCAAUGCUGUAGAACAAGGAUGGAUGGAACUCAUUCCACAUUGCAUGCUGAGAAGGAGAUCUAGCCAUCAUACACCACCUCCUACUGGCCAAACCCGAGGUGUGGAAGACAAAGAGCAAGACUGGCAGGACACCUCUCCACACUGCUGUGAAGAUUAUGCUUCAGAGUUGUGGCUAUGAGCCUGAUGAGAAGGACAGUUGUGGAGUCACACCAUUUAUGGAUGCCAUAAGAAAUGAAUUGCUCAUUGAGAAUCACCAGGUAAGCACAUAUUAUCAAUAUCCCUCACUUUUUUUUCUUAUAUUAGAUAUAAGCAUAUACACAUUUAUCUGGUUUAUCUCCUUCCGCGGUAGAUAUUAUCGUUGCACAGCCCCUACACCAGGCCUCUGUAACUGCUCAGGAAGAAGCACUUUAUUUCCUUGUGCAUAAUCUUGGUAUUGAUAUAAACUUAAGAGCCACAAAACUGGAGCUGACUACAUUGCACUACGCCACUAAGGAAGGUCACACAUGUUUCAUAAAAACACUGCAUGCCCUGGGCGCUGAUCUACAUGCAAGAGACACAAAAGGAAGAUCAGG